This 487-nucleotide ribosomal RNA is filed under the name uncultured bacterium. RNAcentral describes it as "bacterial SSU rRNA". It matches the Rfam family "Bacterial small subunit ribosomal RNA", at positions 28 to 507 of the family's 1533-position model. The record is from RNAcentral.
GAUGAACGCUAGCGGGAGGCUUAACACAUGCAAGUCGAGGGGCAGCAUAGGGUAGCAAUACUCUGAUGGCGACCGGCAAACGGGUGAGUAACGCGUAUGCAACCUACCCUGUACAGGGGGAUAACCCGGAGAAAUUCGGACUAAUAUCCCGUAAUAAUAUCCGGAGGCAUCUUUGGAUAUUUAAAGUUCCGACGGUACGGGAUGGGCGUGCGUAACAUUAGCUGGUUGGUAAGGUAACGGCUUACCAAGGCUAUGAUGUUUAGGGGUCCUGAGAGGGUGGUCCCCCACACUGGUACUGAGACACGGACCAGACUCCUACGGGAGGCAGCAGUGAGGAAUAUUGGUCAAUGGGCGCAAGCCUGAACCAGCCAUCCCGCGUGCAGGAAGACGGCCCUAUGGGUUGUAAACUGCUUUUCCAGGGAGAGAAACUUACGCACGUGUUGCGUGACUGACGGUACCCUGGGAAUAAGCAUCGGCUAACUCCGUG